GACGAACCGUGCGAACGUUAUUCGGAAUCACUGGGCUUAAAGCGCGUGUAGGCGGGCCGGCACGUCGGUCGCUGAAAUCCCCCGGCUCAACCGGGGAAGGGGCGCCGAUACGGCCGGCCUGGAGGGACGUAGGGGGGGCUGGAACUUCCGGUGGAGCGGUGAAAUGCGUUGAGAUCGGAAGGAACGCCCGUGGCGAAAGCGAGCCCCUGGACGUCUACUGACGCUGAGACGCGAAAGCCAGGGGAGCGAACGGG
This 254-nucleotide ribosomal RNA is filed under the name uncultured bacterium. RNAcentral describes it as "partial 16S ribosomal RNA". It matches the Rfam family "Bacterial small subunit ribosomal RNA", at positions 524 to 776 of the family's 1533-position model. The record is from RNAcentral.